CCUUCCUUCUUUAACUCGGUGUCUGAGGGUUUUUUUCUGAGGCUCUUCAUGCUACAUUUCUUGGUUCUCUGACUGGGAAGUGAGGUGAUUGGCGGAUGGUUAAGGCAGCUCCUUAGGUGGCUUAAGCUUGCCCUGUGGAACAACCCUGAGGGGGACUCUGACCAGCCCGAGCAAUGUGGAUCCUGAGAGGACUCCCGGGUAGGCAUUUGCCCUGGUGGGAUGCCUCGCCAGAGCAGUGUGUGGCAGGCCCCCGUGGAGGAUCAACACAGUGGCUGAACACCAGGAAGGAACUGGCACUUGGAGUCCGGACAUCUAAAACGUGUGAUUCUCCAAGGGCAAAUGAAUUUUGACCAGGAAGACAGUGAAGAAAUUUCAUAAAAGUGAAAUACUAAUUGGAAGCUCCUAUCGGCAUUGGUUGAUCUGACAAGUUGUGUGUAUAGAAACUAGCCUAUAUGGAGACACGAAUGUCAAAAGAAGUUUUACCGAUGAUAGAAAUAUGAGAGGAUCAUUAUGUAUUCUUCAAGAAAAAGAAAUAUGGCAAAGGAUAGUAAAGGUAAUACUGCCAAAAAUAUCCAGAUUGUAUUGAAGAAAAUUGUGAAAAAAAGGACCAGAGUCAAAGUUAUUUUUCUAGGAGGAGAAGAACACAUUGCAGAACAGAAGAUGGCAAAUAAAUGCUUUUCCAUGAAAGAGGCACAGAUUGCUUCUACUUACCAAAGCAAGUCACAUGGCCAUGCCUCACCAAGGAGUUAAGAAAGCAGAGUCCUCCCAAGGAAGCAUGUGUCCAGGAAAGAACUGUAUAUUGUUGACUAGCAACAAUGUCUGACACCUUGACUUAAAC
RNAcentral lists this long non-coding RNA (838 nucleotides) under Homo sapiens (human). Its description in RNAcentral is "HSALNT0312891". Lineage: Eukaryota; Metazoa; Chordata; Mammalia; Primates; Hominidae. The record is from RNAcentral.